ACGUAGGGUGCGAGCGUUGUCCGGAAUUAUUGGGCGUAAAGGGCUCGUAGGCGGUUUGUCGCGUCGGGAGUGAAAACCUUGGGCUUAACUCAGGGCUUGCUUUCGAUACGGGCAGACUAGAGGUAUGCAGGGGAGAACGGAAUUCCUGGUGUAGCGGUGAAAUGCGCAGAUAUCAGGAGGAACACCGGUGGCGAAGGCGGGUCUCUGGGCAGUAACUGACGCUGAGGAACGAAAGCGUGGGUAGCGAACAGGA
Molecule: ribosomal RNA, 253 nt
Filed under: uncultured prokaryote
Description: partial 16S ribosomal RNA
Rfam family: Bacterial small subunit ribosomal RNA
Source: RNAcentral